RNAcentral lists this long non-coding RNA (301 nucleotides) under Androctonus crassicauda. Lineage: Eukaryota; Metazoa; Arthropoda; Arachnida; Scorpiones; Buthidae. The record is from RNAcentral.
CCAGUCCAGUGUUAACAAUAAAUAAUCUUUGCCUAUCACUGAGUCUUGUGAUGAAACCUCCAACCUGUUUUGACCUGAACAACGUUGGAUGGGAAAACACCGACAGGGAAAGUGCAACAACUAUCAAUGCUGAUCGCAGCGGAACGUUUGUAGUUUGGACUAAAGACUGUGAAAGUAUCAUCGAUUACGCCGAUAAAUUUCGAAGGAAAGAAUCGGAACUCCACUAUAAAUCAAGGUAUUUGCCCUCCAUUGUCGGGUGCACUUUGGUUAUACUCUCUCUCUCAAUAAAGAUUCCAAGUUU